ACCCUUGUAGCAGAACGGAAUAUGCACUGGUCUUAGAAACCAGGUUUUGUGGGUUCGACUCCCACCAGGGGUAC
RNAcentral lists this transfer RNA (74 nucleotides) under Leptolyngbya boryana NIES-2135. RNAcentral describes it as "tRNA-Leu". It matches the Rfam family "tRNA". Rfam says of the family: Transfer RNA (tRNA) molecules are approximately 80 nucleotides in length. Their secondary structure includes four short double-helical elements and three loops (D, anti-codon, and T loops). Further hydrogen bonds mediate the characteristic L-shaped molecular structure. tRNAs have two regions of fundamental functional importance: the anti-codon, which is responsible for specific mRNA codon recognition, and the 3' end, to which the tRNAs corresponding amino acid is attached (by aminoacyl-tRNA synthetases). tRNAs cope with the degeneracy of the genetic code in two manners: having more than one tRNA (with a specific anti-codon) for a particular amino acid; and 'wobble' base-pairing, i.e. permitting non-standard base-pairing at the 3rd anti-codon position. Lineage: Bacteria; Bacillati; Cyanobacteriota; Cyanophyceae; Leptolyngbyales; Leptolyngbyaceae. The record is from RNAcentral.